Cebus imitator (Panamanian white-faced capuchin) is the source of this 215-nucleotide long non-coding RNA. RefSeq lists it as uncharacterized. The record is from RefSeq and is a predicted model, not a curated record. Lineage: Eukaryota; Metazoa; Chordata; Mammalia; Primates; Cebidae. The transcript has 3 exons.
AGCCAUCCUCCCGCUAUGGCCUCCCAAAGUGUUAGAAUUACAGCUGUAGUGAUCAACUGGUAACACCCACUUUGAAAAUUUUCAAGACCAACAUCAUCUCAGCCAUAAGUGGUGUCUGGAACCCCAGUGAGACCGAGCUGUUCACUCCCCUGAAAAGGGGGCUGAAGCCAGGAAGCCAAGUGGUCUAGUUCAGCAGAUCCCACCCCAUGGAGCCC